This 254-nucleotide ribosomal RNA is filed under the name uncultured bacterium. RNAcentral's name for it is "partial 16S ribosomal RNA". It matches the Rfam family "Bacterial small subunit ribosomal RNA", at positions 524 to 776 of the family's 1533-position model. RNAcentral also lists the same sequence under 2 other names. The record is from RNAcentral.
CACGUAGGGGGCGAGCGUUGUCCGGAUUUAUUGGGCGUAAAGAGCUCGUAGGUGGCUUAGUAAGUCGGGUGUGAAACCUCCAGGCUCAACCUGGAGACGCCACCCGAUACUGCUAUAGCUUGAGUCCGGUAGGGGAGCGUGGAAUUCCUGGUGUAGCGGUGAAAUGCGCAGAUAUCAGGAGGAACACCAGCGGCGAAGGCGGCGCUCUGGGCCGGUACUGACACUGAGGAGCGAAAGCGUGGGGAGCAAACAGG